Molecule: ribosomal RNA, 253 nt
Filed under: uncultured bacterium
Lineage: Bacteria
Description: partial 16S ribosomal RNA
Rfam family: Bacterial small subunit ribosomal RNA
Source: RNAcentral
UACAGAGGUCCCAAGCGUUGUUCGGAUUUACUGGGCGUAAAGGGUGCGUAGGUGGCGAGGUAAGUUCGAUGUGAAAUCUCCGAGCUCAACUCGGAAAUGGCAUUGAAUACUAUCCCGCUUGAGGGUCGGAGGGGAGACUGGAAUUCUCGGUGUAGCAGUGAAAUGCGUAGAUAUCGAGAGGAACACCAGUGGCGAAGGCGAGUCUCUGGCCUGUUCUUGACGCUGAGGCGCGAAAGCUAGGGUAGCAAACGGG